RNAcentral lists this long non-coding RNA (1666 nucleotides) under Helianthus annuus (common sunflower). Its description in RNAcentral is "hypothetical non coding rna". Lineage: Eukaryota; Viridiplantae; Streptophyta; Magnoliopsida; Asterales; Asteraceae. The record is from RNAcentral.
CAUAGCCAUAAAAACAUAACACAAAUUUAACAUAAAUAAACAUAAAAACAAAAUAUGUUCAUACCUAUACAUGAAUAUAUCCAACCCAUGAAGCUUCUUCUUGCAAAGAUUACAACAACUCAAGAAAUCCACCUCAUCAAACACCACCCCACCACCACCCCCACCACCACAAACCACCGGAGGUGACGGUGAACAAAACACCCCACCACCAUAACAACCACCACCACCACCAUGAGUGCUAACCCAAUCACUAACAAGACUCUUUCUCUUAAACCCAUCAUCAAAAUACUCUCUUUUCUUCACCAUAUUAUUCCCCACGUGCGAAAUCACACACGUGUACUCCUCCAACAACUCAAUCUCCACAUCUUCUAAACCGGGUCUUUUGCUAAAUAUCGGAAUCGGGUCGGAUCUUGGUGAAACUGAAAAAACCGGGUUCUGGGUAUUAUGACCCGAUGACUCAUCAUUCAAAGCAACCACAAUCCCCAGCCCUACGACGCCGUUUUGCUCCCUGAAUCUCUUUGGUUGCUUGUUUUGAUCAAAGAAAAAAGGUAGGGUUUUUAGUGUUAAUCUUGAUUUGUUAUUGCUUUUUGCCUUGAAUUCUGCCAUUUUUAGACAAGAUUCUUUCUGGGUUUUGUUAAAAAUCAAAUCUUUACAUACAAUUCAUCAGAAACAAAACAUGGUUUUGAGUGAAAUUGAAAAUUGACUUUGAUUUGACUGUAUUGUACAUAUAUAUAGGUGUAUGUAUAGAUACACUUGGGGGUGUAUGUAUGAAAUGGGUUUAGAGAGAGAGAGAGAGAGUAGAGAGAGAAAGAGAGAGAAGGCCACCUGCCUCUCUUCUUCUGCUUCUUCUUCACUGAAAUAGGCUCAAGGGAUUUAUGGAGAAUAAAGAAGACAUAAUGGCAAUCUUGUAAAUAAUUCAUAAUUGAGGGGUGAAGAUUUGUUUCCUACUUUUGGCAAUUUUUUAGUUUACUCCCUUGGGUUUUGGUGUUUAAGCAUGUUUACUCCCUUGAGAUUUGAGAAUAUUAUUUUUUUGUUAGUUGUUAAAAAUAUCUAGAGAACUCUAAAAGUGCAUAAAGAGAAUCAUGAUAUAAUGGAUGGGUUGAUUCGGGUCAUGUAACGGGUCAAAGGGGGUACAGGCUGGAGCAAACUGUUUUGAAAGUGUAUUGUUUUGAUUAGAAUAAAAGAGGUAUCGAUCAAAAUGGAUACGAGUCGAAACAAAUUGUUCUAGAACAAAAGUAUGAAAUCUGUUUAUCUUAUGUAUUUUUUUUAUAGCGGAGGGUGAUAGUGAUAAGUAGACGUGGUGGGCCAUUUAAACUUAUUCCACGUUAUCAAGUUUUGUAAGAAUGGCCUAUUAUAUGAUAUAAGUAGAUUAAAUAACUGUUGUAUUACUGAAAUAAAUACUUUUUUAAGCACAAUUGUGAUUUAGUGACAUAUGUAAUUUGGGUCCUUUUUGUCUAGCAAACUUCUUAUUUGGCAUUAGCCAACAACCUUUCAAAUAUUCCAAUGUAAUUUGGGAAAUAGAGACUAUACUUGCCUAAGUUUCUAUCAUUAUAACAAACUCUCAUAAUGAUUGAACAAAAUUAUUCACUAUUUGCCAAACAAACCUAAUGGAUUGCCAAAUAAUCUCAAUAUGACAUUGCUUUAUUGUUUUGAAGAACUGUUUUAA